UAGAUGACUACUGACACUACACUAUUUAAC
This 30-nucleotide non-coding RNA is filed under the name Rattus norvegicus (Norway rat). Lineage: Eukaryota; Metazoa; Chordata; Mammalia; Rodentia; Muridae. The record is from RNAcentral.